Molecule: long non-coding RNA, 211 nt
Filed under: Theobroma cacao (cacao)
Lineage: Eukaryota; Viridiplantae; Streptophyta; Magnoliopsida; Malvales; Malvaceae
Description: long non-coding RNA (TCAC_LNC003874)
Source: RNAcentral
UGUGAUUUUAUAGAAAAAUGAGUUUAAAUGGUAAAUCCUUAUGUUUUAUAAGUAAAAUGUGAUUAAAUGAAAUGAGUUUUAUAAAUCAUUUUGAAAUUGAAUGAUGAUUUUAGAAAUUGAGUAAUUGGAGACUAUUUGAUUGUGUUGUAAAUUUAUGGUUUGAAUUGAAUGGCUUAUGGUGAUAUUGGCUUGAAUGGCUGAAUUGGAAAUU